RNAcentral lists this ribosomal RNA (426 nucleotides) under uncultured bacterium. RNAcentral describes it as "bacterial SSU rRNA". It matches the Rfam family "Bacterial small subunit ribosomal RNA", at positions 354 to 796 of the family's 1533-position model. The record is from RNAcentral.
GUGGGGAAUCUUGCGCAAUGGGCGAAAGCCUGACGCAGCAACGCCGCGUGGGGGAUGAAGGCUCUCGGGUUGUAAACCCCUUUCAGCAGGGACGAAUCAAGACGGUACCUGCAGAAGAAGCCCCGGCUAACUACGUGCCAGCAGCCGCGGUAACACGUAGGGGGCAAGCGUUGUCCGGAUUUAUUGGGCGUAAAGAGCUCGUAGGUGGCUGAGUAAGUCGGAUGUCAAAUCCCCAGGCUCAACCUGGGAUCCCAUCCGAUACUGCUCUGGCUAGAGUCCGGUAGGGGAGCGUGGAAUUCCUGGUGUAGCGGUGAAAUGCGCAGAUAUCAGGAGGAACACCAGCGGCGAAGGCGGCGCUCUGGGCCGGUACUGACACUGAGGAGCGAAAGCGUGGGUAGCAAACAGGAUUAGAAACCCGGGUAGUCC